RNAcentral lists this ribosomal RNA (494 nucleotides) under uncultured bacterium. RNAcentral's name for it is "partial 16S ribosomal RNA". It matches the Rfam family "Bacterial small subunit ribosomal RNA", at positions 28 to 523 of the family's 1533-position model. The record is from RNAcentral.
GAUGAACGCUAGCGGCAGGCUUAACACAUGCAAGUCGAGGGGUAUAGUUCUUCGGAGCUAGAGACCGGCGCACGGGUGCGUAACGCGUAUGCAAUCUGCCUUCCACAGAGGGAUAGCCCAGAGAAAUUUGGAUUAAUACCUCAUAGCAUCAUGUUCCGGCAUCGGAAUAUGAUUAAAGUCACAACGGUGGAAGAUGAGCAUGCGUCCCAUUAGCUAGUUGGUAAGGUAACGGCUUACCAAGGCGACGAUGGGUAGGGGUCCUGAGAGGGAGAUCCCCCACACUGGUACUGAGACACGGACCAGACUCCUACGGGAGGCAGCAGUGAGGAAUAUUGGUCAAUGGGCGCAAGCCUGAACCAGCCAUGCCGCGUGCAGGAUGACGGUCCUAUGGAUUGUAAACUGCUUUUGUACGGGAGGAAACACUCCCUCGUGAGGGAGCUUGACGGUACCGUAAGAAUAAGGAUCGGCUAACUCCGUGCCAGCAGCCGCGGUAA